RNAcentral lists this ribosomal RNA (439 nucleotides) under uncultured bacterium. RNAcentral's name for it is "partial 16S ribosomal RNA". It matches the Rfam family "Bacterial small subunit ribosomal RNA", at positions 338 to 795 of the family's 1533-position model. The record is from RNAcentral.
CCUACGGGUGGCAGCAGUGGGGAAUAUUGCACAAUGGGCGAAAGCCUGAUGCAGCAACGCCGCGUGAGCGAUGAAGGCCUUCGGGUCGUAAAGCUCUGUCCUCAAGGAAGAUAAUGACGGUACUGGAGGAGGAAGCCCCGGCUAACUACGUGCCAGCAGCCGCGGUACUACGUAGGGGGCUAGCGUUAUCCGGAGUUACUGGGCGAAAAGGGUGCGGAGGUGGUUUCUUAAGUCAGAGGUGAAAGGCUACGGCUCAAGCGUAGUAAGCCUUUGAAACUGGGGAACUUGAGUGCAGGAGAGGAGAGUGGAAUUCCUAGUGUAGCGGUGAAAUGCGUAGAUAUUAGGAGGAACACCAGUUGCGAAGGCGGCUCUCUGGACUGUAACUGACACUGAGGCACGAAAGCGUGGGGAGCAAACAGGAUUAGAUACCCUGGUAGUC